GAUGAACGCUAGCGGCAGGCCUAAUACAUGCAAGUCGAGGGGCAGCGGGGUAGCAAUACUGCCGGCGACCGGCGCACGGGUGCGUAACACGUAUGCAACCUACCUUAAACUGGGAGAUAGCCCGGGGAAACUCGGAUUAAUACCCCAUAAUACAUUUGGAUCACAUGAUUUGAUUGUUAAAGAUUUAUCGGUUUAAGAUGGGCAUGCGUUCGAUUAGCUAGUUGGUAAGGUAACGGCUUACCAAGGCUACGAUCGAUAGGGGGUCUGAGAGGAUGAUCCCCCACACUGGUACUGAGAUACGGACCAGACUCCUACGGGAGGCAGCAGUAGGGAAUAUUGGUCAAUGGAGGCAACUCUGAACCAGCCAUGCCGCGUGUAGGAAGAAGGCGUUCUGCGUUGUAAACUACUUUUGAUUGGGAACAAAUGACUCGUGCGCGAGUAGCUGAGUGUACCAAUAGAAUAAGCCACGGCUAACUACGUG
RNAcentral lists this ribosomal RNA (481 nucleotides) under uncultured organism. RNAcentral describes it as "bacterial SSU rRNA". It matches the Rfam family "Bacterial small subunit ribosomal RNA", at positions 28 to 507 of the family's 1533-position model. The record is from RNAcentral.